Phyllopteryx taeniolatus (common seadragon) is the source of this 1251-nucleotide long non-coding RNA. RefSeq lists it as uncharacterized. The transcript has 4 exons. NCBI's taxonomy places the organism in Eukaryota, Metazoa, Chordata, Actinopteri, Syngnathiformes, Syngnathidae. The record is from RefSeq and is a predicted model, not a curated record.
UUACAGGCUGUAUGGAAAAGACGCCCCAGCCUUUCCCAGAAAGUCCAAAUGUGAUCUGAGCUACUUGCUGGGCGGUGAGCAACAUGGCGGCCCGGUGUUCUGAAGCACGGCGGGAUGUGUCAGUGUGGUGCAAGGACUGACACGGGGGCGAGAUGCACUUCAUGGCUACGAGCUGUGAGCUAGUGGGAUGGUGAAGUUGGUCUGUAUUUAUUUACCGACCCGACAUCACAUUUCUGCUUUUUUCUCGAAAAUAUGGCUCAGUUUUGACUGGCAUUGUCAGAGAGGGUGUCCUUUAGAGAUGUAGUUAUUAUUGUGGUUGUUUAGACUUAGACUGUUGGUGCUGUGGAUAAUAUAUAUAUCUAUAUUUUAAUGGGUUUUAUGCCACUGCAAACUACAACCAUAUUAAAAAAACAAACAAAUGUAUUGUGAAAUGAAUAACUGACCGUCAAAAGUACGUGUUAUUAGUGCAAAGGUCAUGAUAAUGUACUGUAUGUCUGUGGGCACACUCGGGCUUUGCACAAUAUAUUGUGCAGAACUGUCUGUAUUACUAAACUAAAGAGGACAAGGGUGUAUGUUAAGGAUGUGUGCACUUGAGGCUGAAUUAUGUGUGAGAUUGAUGAAGGCGAAACAUUCUCACAGGCGUACAUGUUUGUGUCGACUUGACUAUCUCUCCCUAUUUCUCUAUGUCGUCAGCUUCCCUUAGAUGUUCCCUGUGACCUAUGACCUCAGAGUUGGGGUCAAGCCCUGAUAAAUAAGAUGGCAGCGUUCUGACCAGAACUGCAAACAUUCCACAACAAUCUCGCCUCGUAUCCGUGAUGUGUCACCGGGCGCUACACUCCCCCCUUCUACUCUACGUGUCUGCUGUGACUUGGGCAGAAUGCCAGCGUCUGCCGUUUCCCACCUUUUCCUCCAAGACUCGCAGCUGUAAUAGACGCCUGCACUCUACUCACGCACACGUCAGGCGUGGUGGUAUGAGGUACUGAGGGGUUCUCCAUUCCCCUUGGUCUCUACCACCCCAUCUGGCUAUGAUUGCACAAUGCUGUCCUUCCACUUCUACUGAACCAGAGGAGACAAUCCUGCCACUCCAGCAGAGCCGUAAGUCUUCGGUACUUACACAUCCCUCUCAGGCCUCACAAUGACAAUGAACUAUCUAGGAGGGGCGGGGGGGUCGGCCCUUUCUCGCCAGUAAUGGAAGCGGUUACUGCUAUUCCCUACACAUCUGCGGAAACAGCUAACUGUUAACUACCGUGA